GACGAACGCUGGCGGCGUGCUUAACACAUGCAAGUCGAGCGUAAGGCCCUUUCGGGGUACGACGAGCGGCGAACGGGUGAGUAACACGUGGGUGACCUGGCCCUUAGCUCUGGGAUAAGCCUGGGAAACUGGGUCGUAAUACCGGAUAUGACUCCAUGACGCAUGUUGUAGGGGUGAAGCCUUGUGCGGCUAGGGAUUGGGACCUGGCGGCCUAUCAGCUUGUUGGUGGGUGAUGGCCCUACCAAGGCGACGACGGUAGCCGGCCUGAGAGGGCGACCGG
Molecule: ribosomal RNA, 280 nt
Filed under: uncultured bacterium
Lineage: Bacteria
Description: partial 16S ribosomal RNA
Rfam family: Bacterial small subunit ribosomal RNA
Source: RNAcentral